Molecule: long non-coding RNA, 725 nt
Filed under: Mustela putorius furo (domestic ferret)
Lineage: Eukaryota; Metazoa; Chordata; Mammalia; Carnivora; Mustelidae
Description: lncRNA (ENSMPUG00000027060.1)
Source: RNAcentral
CUCAAAUCUCUUCAGAACGCACUAUCCCUUCUGCCUGAAGAAACAUAUUUGCCUCUCUCUGUUUGGGCUGAUAUAAUGCCGAGUUUCUCAAAUUUGGCAUUAUUGACAUUUUGGAAUGGAUAAUUCUUUGUUGUGGGGAAUAGCAUGUACACUGCGGAAUGUUUAGUAGCAUUCCUGGCCUCUACUCAAUAACACCAAUAGCACCCCUCUCCCAUUUGUGACAACCAGACAUAUCUCCAGACAUUGUCAAGUGUACUCCAGGAGACAAAACUGCCCAGUUGAAAAUCACUAGUGCAAUGGAAAGAAGCCAGCCCUCGGUAAUUCUUCUGGACCAUAAGUAAGAAAGGACAGACUGAGGACACACAGAAUCCAGCUUACAAGGAAAAGAAGUUUUGUCCUUGCUAUCUGAUUCAAAUGAAAAUCACAUGUUUGUCUCCUAACAUAAGACAAAAUUAUAGAAAUCAAGGUUAAAACACAAAAAUCUUGUGAUGCACCUGGGGGACUCAGUUGGUUAUGCAGCCAACUCUUGAUUUUGGCUCAGAAACCACCCUCUAUUAUGAGAGAAAGACCAUAUCAUCAGCCCCGUGUGACUAAGAAGAUGCUCAUUGUUUGGCUUCUUUCAGAUGCAGGGUAAACACAUGUUCACUUGGUGAAUCUGCAAUACCUAAUUCAUGGAACAUUCAUGUUUUCAAAUUAACUACUCGAAGAAGGACAUUCAUAUCAAU